ACGAACGCUGGCGGCGUGCUUAACACAUGCAAGUCGCACGGAAAGGCCCUGCUUUUGUGGGGUGCUCGAGUGGCGAACGGGUGAGUAACACGUGAGUAACCUGCCCUUGACUUUGGGAUAACUUCAGGAAACUGGGGCUAAUACCGGAUAGGAGCUCCUGCUGCAUGGUGGGGGUUGGAAAGUUUCGGCGGUUGGGGAUGGACUCCCGGCUUAUCAGCUUGUUGGUGGGGUAGUGGCUUACCAAGGCUUUGACGGGUAGCCGGCCUGAGAGGGUGACCGGCCACAUUGGGACUGAGAUACGGCCCAGACUCCUACGGGAGGCAGCAGUGGGGAAUAUUGCACAAUGGGCGGAAGCCUGAUGCAGCAACGCCGCGUGCGGGAUGACGGCCUUCGGGUUGUAAACCGCUUUCGCCUGUGACGAAGCGUGAGUGACGGUAAUGGGUAAAGAAGCACCGGCUAACUACGUG
RNAcentral lists this ribosomal RNA (467 nucleotides) under uncultured bacterium. RNAcentral describes it as "partial 16S ribosomal RNA". It matches the Rfam family "Bacterial small subunit ribosomal RNA", at positions 29 to 507 of the family's 1533-position model. The record is from RNAcentral.